GCCGAGCUGAGUCACGUUAGCUUGUGACCCAAGUGGGGGCACUAAGGUGGUGGAACAGCUCAUUGGCUUUGCUGGGUUGGACUGUGGCUGCAAUAAGUUGGCCUGCCCACUCCAAGUUGAGAAUUGAAUCAUGGGACUUAAAGCGAAGGCAUAGGUCUCCUGGUUCUUAGAGUGGAGGGCACUGCGUGAGGCUGGUUUCACAGAACAGCGAACACCUCCCAUUCCCAACAGUGGAGGGAUAACAGGUUGCUGCAACCACAGUCCACCAUGGCCUGGUGAGCCUAGAUGCUUGGACCAUCACUUUU
Molecule: signal recognition particle RNA, 305 nt
Filed under: Glycine tomentella
Lineage: Eukaryota; Viridiplantae; Streptophyta; Magnoliopsida; Fabales; Fabaceae
Description: Plant signal recognition particle RNA
Rfam family: Plant signal recognition particle RNA
Source: Rfam by way of RNAcentral